GGAAGGCGGAAUUUAGGGGAUCGUAUACAGAUGGAGCUGCCAGGUAACUGGCCUUAUUUCCUAGGGGCCUCUCACAGUUAAGAAAAAUCUUGGCCAGUUUUCCUGUUUGAGGUUCCUAGUGUAUUUUAAAGCCAUUAGACAGAAGACUGUAAGAGACAGAAGACAGAGCCAGGAGACAGAAGGCUGUGAUUCUUGCAAGAUGGGAAAUGGAUAACCAACUAGCACAUGAUGAUGAAAAGAGGAUGCCGUGUCCUUUGCCUUCUGUCAACUGUGGAGGAUGUGUGAAAACAAGUGCUAACAUGUGGCCACCGGAGAAACUUCCGGAGAAACUUCCGGGGAAACGCCCUGUGCUUCCAGACCAUUGGGAGGCAGCCUCCUCACUGAUGGGUCCCUGCAGGGAAGGCCCAGACUCCUCAGGCCUUAUCCUCGUCCUCUUCCAUGCUGCCCUAAAUCUUGAGUCAAGUUCAGUAGCACAUCCUAUCAUUAGAAGCUCUGGAGAAUUAGAAGUGACAGCAGAAAACAAGGCAGGAGGUACUUCCACAGAAGCAGCAACUGAUUUGAGGUGGCCUGCAAUGUUUGAUGGAAAGACCUUCAAAUGA
RNAcentral lists this long non-coding RNA (599 nucleotides) under Mustela putorius furo (domestic ferret). Its description in RNAcentral is "lncRNA (ENSMPUG00000030693.1)". Lineage: Eukaryota; Metazoa; Chordata; Mammalia; Carnivora; Mustelidae. The record is from RNAcentral.